AUACGGAGGGUGCAAGCGUUAUUCGGAAUCACUGGGCGUAAAGGACGCGUAGGCGGGUUGGCAAGUCAGAUGUGAAAUCCUACAGCUUAACUGUAGAACUGCAUUCGAAACUGCUAACCUAGAGUAUGGGAGGGGGAGAUGGAAUUAGUGGUGUAGGGGUAAAAUCCGUAGAUAUCACUAGGAAUACCGAAAGCGAAGGCGAUCUCCUGGAACAUAACUGACGCUAAGACGUGAAAGCGUGGGGAGCAAACAGGAUUAGAAACCCUAGUAGUCC
Molecule: ribosomal RNA, 274 nt
Filed under: uncultured bacterium
Lineage: Bacteria
Description: partial 16S ribosomal RNA
Rfam family: Bacterial small subunit ribosomal RNA
Source: RNAcentral